AUUCCAGCUCCAAUAGCGUAUAUUAAAGUUGUUGCGGUUAAAAAGCUCGUAGUUGGAUCUCGGCGGGCAGGGGGUGGUUCGCUCUUCAGCGCUACUGCCCCGCUUUGCCCGUGUGAUUGGCGGAGGUUUCGGGGUGCUCUUCGUUGAGUGACUCGGAGCGCCGUCAGGUUUACUUUGAAAAAAUUAGAGUGCUCAAAGCAGGCUUUUCACGCUUGAAUAUUCGUGCAUGGAAUAAUGGAAUAGGAACUCGUUUCUAUUUUGUUGGUUUUCGGAAAUCGAGAUAAUGAUUAACAGGGACAAUUGGGGGCAUUAGUAUUCAGACAACAGAGGUGAAAUUCUUGGACCGUCUGAAGACUGACUACUGCGAAAGCAUUUGCCAAGAGUGUUUUCAUCG
Molecule: ribosomal RNA, 394 nt
Filed under: Oithona sp.
Lineage: Eukaryota; Metazoa; Arthropoda; Copepoda; Cyclopoida; Oithonidae
Description: partial small subunit ribosomal RNA
Rfam family: Eukaryotic small subunit ribosomal RNA
Source: RNAcentral